RNAcentral lists this ribosomal RNA (373 nucleotides) under uncultured bacterium. RNAcentral describes it as "bacterial SSU rRNA". It matches the Rfam family "Bacterial small subunit ribosomal RNA", at positions 525 to 896 of the family's 1533-position model. The record is from RNAcentral.
ACGUAGGUACCAAGCGUUGUUCGGAUUUACUGGGCGUAAAGGGCGCGUAGGCGGCAUGACAAGUCACUUGUGAAAUCUCUGGGCUUAACCCAGAACGGUCAAGUGAUACUGUCGUGCUAGAGUGCAGAAGGGGCAAUCGGAAUUCUUGGUGUAGCGGUGAAAUGCGUAGAUAUCAAGAGGAACACCUGAGGUGAAGACGGGUUGCUGGGCUGACACUGACGCUGAGGCGCGAAAGCCAGGGGAGCAAACGGGAUUAGAUACCCCGGUAGUCCUGGCCCUAAACGAUGAAUACUUGGUGUCUGGAGUCUAUAUGCUCCGGGUGCCGUCGCUAACGUUUUUAGUAUUCCGCCUGGGGAGUACGCUCGCAAGAGUG